UGCGCAGGCGGAAUGAUAAGUCAGUGGUGAAAUCCUACGGCUCAACCGUAGAACUGCCAUUGAUACUGUUGUUCUUGAGUACAGUUGUAGUGGGCGGAAUAUGUCAUGUAGCGGUGAAAUGCAUAGAUAUGACAUAGAACACCGAUCGCGAAGGCAGCUCACUAAGCUGAAACUGACGCUCAGGCACGAAAGCGUGGGGAGCAAACAGGAUUAGAUACCCUGGUAGUCC
This 229-nucleotide ribosomal RNA is filed under the name uncultured bacterium. Its description in RNAcentral is "partial 16S ribosomal RNA". It matches the Rfam family "Bacterial small subunit ribosomal RNA", at positions 568 to 796 of the family's 1533-position model. The record is from RNAcentral.